Long non-coding RNA from Papaver somniferum (opium poppy), 315 nucleotides. RefSeq lists it as uncharacterized. The record is from RefSeq and is a predicted model, not a curated record. The transcript has 3 exons. NCBI's taxonomy places the organism in Eukaryota, Viridiplantae, Streptophyta, Magnoliopsida, Ranunculales, Papaveraceae.
UGAAGAGUUGAUUGUUAAUAGAAAUCAGAGAAGCCUCAAUAAGAAGCUGUUGUUGGGUUGUGAUGGUUCUUGUCUAGUUCGACUGAUAAAUAAUGGUUGUGAUGAUAAUUAUUCAUGUUGAUUAUGAUGAAGUUGUUGGAUCAUGUAUAUACAGUCAAGUUACUCUUUAUUAACAACGACCGAUUCAAAGGACGAACCAGUGAAUGGAGAAUCUCGAGGUAGGCAAGGCUUGUCAUCAAAAUAGUUCCAGAGACAUAUCAGAGUUGCGCAGCGAAAGCUUCAAGGGUUGAUUUCGUCAGUUGGUUAACUUUUGCU